UCUGCUUUCAAAUCUCGAUGGAAAUGUAUCUGCAAAUGUUGCGUGCUUGUAAGGGCACCUCAGCGACGAGAAAGCCCUAUGGAAUGCAAUGGGCCUUUCUUCCAAGAAGCCAUGUAUGGAAUUGUACUGUGAAUCCCUCAUGCAGGUGUAGAUUUUGAGAGUGAAGUAAGUGAAAAGUGAGGAAGUAAUUUAUUGGAUUCCACCGCUGAUUUUUCUGCAACAAAUUCUUGAGUUUCUUUUCACUACUGAAAACAACUGGAUGAUAGGAGCUAUUUCCUCAUCUUUAUACUGCUGCUGCUAUUGUUGUUGUGAUUUGUAUACCUUUUCAUAGUUCAAAGAAAUGUCUGAGUGGUUUGCCCACACACGUGUGCCUAAAGAAAGUCUAGGAUCUUGAAAAGCCUAAAACAAAUGCUUGGAUUUCCACAACUUAUAUAAACUGAGGGCUGAUUCACAGGGCCCACCUCUCCCCCCCCUACUUUGUGGUGCUCACCUUCCCACCCACCGCCCCUUUAGACUAGCUGGGAUUUCCUCAUCUUACUGAGUGAAAUACGUUACCUAUUAGCUAUGUGUAGAAAGAGCCAGCGUUAUGUAUCACUGCAACUGCCAGUGAAACUAGCACCUUCUGCUAGAUGUGGAAAAGAAGCAAGUAUUUUCUUUUUUUAAAAAAAUCUGUGUUUUCUCCAGUACUUGUAACAUUGCUCAAGGUAGUAGUAUAACGCCUGCUGUGCCUUUUUCCGUUUCUCACAAAAACCUGCUUGCCUGGCUGACUGAGGAGGGGGGAGGGAUGGGAAUGGUGACCAUGACCUUGGAAACCUUCUGAAAAUUGUGGUGUCUUCAAAGAAACCAAAUUAAAUACCACACUUCUCUUAUCCAGUAGUGCUUUUCGUCAUUUCAGAUUUUGCCCUGUUUGGGGGUUAAGAAAUAUAUUCACACAAGGAGGUGAGUCAGAAAGGUAGCUUUGAAUCAGGAAUGCAUUUGAAAAUUUGGAGCAGAAAACAGACAAUGCCUAUUAAUGAAAGAGUUCCUUAAAAAACCCAAACCCUUCCAUUGCCAGUUAUGUGUGUAUGGCCAGGAGAUUUACUCCUUACAAACAUUUCUAGCUGUUCUGAGGUAAUUAAUCCAACGAUGUUUUGAAAACAGAUAUUGCCUUUUGUUUUUCCUCAUGGAUUUGAAAGAGAUUCAGCAUCUUCUUGUGCCAAAAAAAAUCUGAAAGAAAUCACUAGUAAUCCAGGAGAAACUGAUGUAGCAGAUGGUUAGGAGUGUAGGGUGAAGGGACAUACAUAUGUGUAAAAAUAUGUACUAUUAUUAAUAGUUUUGCCAUUAGGAAGGAGACUGAUACAGUUCCGCUUGUUUUUUCAGUAUCAGUUGCUUUUUCAGACUAAACACAGACUUUGGGUGGGAAGCUGUGGGUUACAAUACAUGCCUUACUAGAAGAAAAUACACACACAUACACACAAAACCCCUCAGAGCAACUGUGAAUAGCAAUUAAAGUCAUCCAUAAUAACAGCUCUUGGUUGUUUUGUUUCCUGGAAAACCAUGGAGGACAGGGCUAUCAAUGGCUACUAGCCGUGAUGGCUGUGCUGUGCCACCCUAGUCAGAGGCAGCAUGCUUCUGAAAACCAGUUGCCAGAAGCCUCAGGAG
This is a long non-coding RNA of Rhineura floridana, 1641 nucleotides long. RefSeq lists it as uncharacterized. The transcript has 3 exons. NCBI's taxonomy places the organism in Eukaryota, Metazoa, Chordata, Lepidosauria, Squamata, Rhineuridae. The record is from RefSeq and is a predicted model, not a curated record.